UAGAAAUCAAACUAACUUUAGGAAACAAUAUGCCAAAAGCAUAUUUACAAUUACUUAAGACCGUUUUUAAUUUCUUUUCUUUAGACCAAAUCCCCUGUACACAUAUACGGACUCAGAGGAUGAGCAACCUACAAAGAAACGGUUUCCCCAGGCCCCUCGAGUGAAAAUACCAGGUAAUAAAAUACUGUCUAGUGUCUGUGUACAUAUCUGUGUCUGACACAAGGAAACUUUUUUGACAAGUUGUCUGUAUUCUUAAAUACUUAAAAAAUGAUCUUUUUCUAAACAGCCCUCAUCACUCCAGUCUGCCCCCCAGCCCACUGAUAGCAACCAUCAUAAUGCCCCACCCAGCUUCCGGCACCUUUCGCCACUCCGGCACAAACCGACACAGCUUUGCGAUCUCGCCAGCAUGCAGUCUGAUGUCUUCCCUAUAGAUGAUUCCAGAGACUCUGUGAGGCCACUAUUACAA
Oreochromis aureus is the source of this 466-nucleotide long non-coding RNA. The record is from Ensembl. NCBI's taxonomy places the organism in Eukaryota, Metazoa, Chordata, Actinopteri, Cichliformes, Cichlidae.